This 286-nucleotide ribosomal RNA is filed under the name Staphylococcus aureus. Its description in RNAcentral is "partial 23S ribosomal RNA". It matches the Rfam family "Bacterial large subunit ribosomal RNA", at positions 674 to 958 of the family's 2925-position model. Lineage: Bacteria; Bacillati; Bacillota; Bacilli; Caryophanales; Staphylococcaceae. The record is from RNAcentral.
AAAGCGAGUCUGAAUAGGGCGUUUAGUAUUUGGUCGUAGACCCGAAACCAGGUGAUCUACCCUUGGUCAGGUUGAAGUUCAGGUAACACUGAAUGGAGGACCGAACCGACUUACGUUGAAAAGUGAGCGGAUGAACUGAGGGUAGCGGAGAAAUUCCAAUCGAACCUGGAGAUAGCUGGUUCUCUCCGAAAUAGCUUUAGGGCUAGCCUCAAGUGAUGAUUAUUGGAGGUAGAGCACUGUUUGGACGAGGGGCCCCUCUCGGGUUACCGAAUUCAGACAAACUCCG